Molecule: small nucleolar RNA, 106 nt
Filed under: Gossypium hirsutum (cotton)
Lineage: Eukaryota; Viridiplantae; Streptophyta; Magnoliopsida; Malvales; Malvaceae
Also listed under: 1 other name
Description: Plant small nucleolar RNA R71
Rfam family: Plant small nucleolar RNA R71
About the family: R71 is a member of the C/D box family of snoRNAs containing the C (UGAUGA) and D (CUGA) box motifs.
Source: Rfam by way of RNAcentral
AAUUAAUGGUGCAGCCAUUUUUGAAUCAACAUUUUGAAGCGUUCUCAUGCCUCAUAGAAACUUUCUCCCUCUAUUUUUCUGAAGAUAGCAGUCUCGUUUCUUAGUU